RNAcentral lists this ribosomal RNA (275 nucleotides) under uncultured bacterium. Its description in RNAcentral is "partial 16S ribosomal RNA". It matches the Rfam family "Bacterial small subunit ribosomal RNA", at positions 30 to 305 of the family's 1533-position model. The record is from RNAcentral.
AUUGAACGCUGGCGGCAUGCCUUACACAUGCAAGUCGAACGGCAGCACGGGGGCAACCCUGGUGGCGAGUGGCGAACGGGUGAGUAAUACAUCGGAACGUGCCCCGUAGCGGGGGACAACCAGUCGAAAGACUGGCUAAUACCGCAUACGCUCCACGGAGGAAAGCAGGGGAUCGCAAGACCUUGCACUAUGGGAGCGGCCGAUGCCCGAUUAGCUAGUUGGGAGGUAAAGGCUCACCAAGGCAACGAUCGGUAGCUGGUCUGAGGAGGACGACC